CGCUUUCGGGCGCGAAUUGAGGCGAGAACCGCGUUAAUCGAAACGGCUUGAACCGGGCAAAAGUCGUAACAAGGUUUCCGUAGGUGAACCUGCGGAAGGAUCAUUAUUGAGCCUACUCUCAUACAUGUGAGUAUUAUGAUCACUGUUCGGAACGCGGCACUGUCGUUUCUAGGUGUCGCGACCGUUCGACAACGGCUUUGAAUGGUUUCUAUAGGUGUCUGGAGCAGCUGUAUGAGCGUGGCUGUGGUGAAGGACAUUUGACAUCGCGUCUCGACGCGGUGAGAAUUGAAGAGGUCAGUCGGAGACCCGCCGUUCACAAACCCUACCAUUAACAAUUUUACACACGAUGACAAGCAUCGUUGAUGCUGUGUUAUACAACUGUUACCAAGUCUUAUCGGUGGAUCACUCGGUUCGUAGUUCGAUGAAAAACGGGGCAAAAACCGUUAUUUGGCGUGAAUUGCAGACAUAUUGAACGCUAAAAUUUUGAACGCAAAUGGCACUAUCAGGUUUAUAUCUGAUAGUAUGUUUGGUUGAGGGUCGACUAACACGUUACUUGCAGUCAGCGACUGUUUUUUCGACGAGCUAUGUACGUUCGUAUGUACCUCGUUCGGUGUGAACGUUCCCCCGGCACUGGGGGCGAUAGUGCAAUGGACAAGGCUUUUGUCGUGUCCGCUAUCACAUCGGUUCCGUGCGUUGAUGGCUUUGGCGUGUCUCUUGCCAGCUGACUUGUACGUAAUUUUUUGCGUAUGUAAGCUUCUUGAAGUCAGUGUUGCCAGCAAGCGUUUGAGCCUGUACGGUUCGGCGCGCGACGUAGCUGGAACUUCGUGUUCGAUGUUUUCGAAUGACGACUCA
Molecule: unclassified non-coding RNA, 852 nt
Filed under: Steinernema glaseri
Lineage: Eukaryota; Metazoa; Nematoda; Chromadorea; Rhabditida; Steinernematidae
Description: sequence contains 18S rRNA gene, ITS1, 5.8S rRNA gene, ITS2, 28S rRNA gene
Rfam family: 5.8S ribosomal RNA (bases 387-540)
Source: RNAcentral